This 91-nucleotide small RNA is filed under the name Arabidopsis thaliana (thale cress). RNAcentral describes it as "ATSL266060". Lineage: Eukaryota; Viridiplantae; Streptophyta; Magnoliopsida; Brassicales; Brassicaceae. The record is from RNAcentral.
ACAUAAAUAACCAUCCAGCUGCAUCACUCGACCAAGCACCUCAUGGCAUCUUUAGAGUCUUCUCAAAUCCGCACUCAACCAGACAAGCUAA